Molecule: ribosomal RNA, 253 nt
Filed under: uncultured bacterium
Lineage: Bacteria
Description: partial 16S ribosomal RNA
Rfam family: Bacterial small subunit ribosomal RNA
Source: RNAcentral
UACGUAGGGGGCAAGCGUUGUCCGGAUUUAUUGGACGUAAAGCGCUCGCAGGUGGUCCGAUGCGUCGUGCGUGAAAGACCCCGGCUCAACUGGGGAGUGUCGUGCGAUACGGUCGGACUGGAGGCCAGUAGGGGGAUGCGGAAUUCCGGGUGUAGUGGUGGAAUGCGUAGAGAUCCGGAGGAACACCAGCGGCGAAGGCGGCAUCCUGGACUGGUCCUGACACUCAUGAGCGAAAGCGUGGGGAGCGAUCCGG